RNAcentral lists this small nucleolar RNA (123 nucleotides) under Capsicum annuum. RNAcentral's name for it is "Small nucleolar RNA U19". It matches the Rfam family "Small nucleolar RNA U19". Lineage: Eukaryota; Viridiplantae; Streptophyta; Magnoliopsida; Solanales; Solanaceae. The record is from Rfam by way of RNAcentral.
UUUUGGCUUAGUUAGGAGGCACACACUAAAUUCUUUUGAUGCUUUCAAUUUAAGGCCUUUUGAAAGAACUCUUUGCUGUUCUUCUUCUUCAUCAAUUGUCCUUUAAGCAUCUUUUGUACACCC